Molecule: transfer RNA, 75 nt
Filed under: Parcubacteria group bacterium SW_6_46_9
Lineage: Bacteria
Description: tRNA-Phe
Rfam family: tRNA
About the family: Transfer RNA (tRNA) molecules are approximately 80 nucleotides in length. Their secondary structure includes four short double-helical elements and three loops (D, anti-codon, and T loops). Further hydrogen bonds mediate the characteristic L-shaped molecular structure. tRNAs have two regions of fundamental functional importance: the anti-codon, which is responsible for specific mRNA codon recognition, and the 3' end, to which the tRNAs corresponding amino acid is attached (by aminoacyl-tRNA synthetases). tRNAs cope with the degeneracy of the genetic code in two manners: having more than one tRNA (with a specific anti-codon) for a particular amino acid; and 'wobble' base-pairing, i.e. permitting non-standard base-pairing at the 3rd anti-codon position.
Source: RNAcentral
GCUGGAGUAGCUCAGUGGUAGAGCACCAGUUUGAAGCACUGGGUGUCGUGGGUUCGAUUCCCUCCUCCAGCACCU